UAGCAAGAUAGAAUUCGGAUCCUCCGGUUGAUCCUGCCAGAGGUCACUGCUAUCGGGGUUCGAUUAAGCCAUGCGAGUCGAGAGGGUUCGGCCCUCGGCGUACUGCUCAGUAACACGUGGAUAACCUGCCCUAGGGGAGGGGAUAACCCCGGGAAACUGGGGAUAAUACCCUAUAGGUUACAGAUGCUGGAAUGCCCUGUAAUCCAAAGUUCCGACGCCCUAGGAUGGAUCUGCGGCCGAUUAGGUUGUUGUUGGGGUAACGGCCCAACAAGCCCGUAAUCGGUACGGGUUGUGGGAGCAAGAGCCCGGAGUUGGAUUCUGAGACACGAAUCCAGGCCCUACGGGGCGCAGCAGGCGCGAAACCUUUACAAUGCGGGCAACCGUGAUAAGGGAACCUCGAGUGCCUGUAAACGCAGGCUGUUCAGGUGUUUAAAACGCACCUGGAGAAAGGGCCGGGCAAGACCGGUGCCAGCCGCCGCGGUAAUACCGGCGGCUCGAGUGGUGGCCGCUUUUAUUGGGCUUAAAGCGUUCGUAGCUGGGUUGUUAAGUCUCUUGGGAAAUCUGGCGGCUUAACCGUCAGGCGUCUAAGGGAUACUGGCAAUCUUGGAACCGGGAGAGGUGAGGGGUACUUCGGGGGUAGGAGUGAAAUCCUGUAAUCCUCGAGGGACCACCUGUGGCGAAGGCGCCUCACCAGAACGGCUUCGACAGUGAGGGAC
Molecule: ribosomal RNA, 716 nt
Filed under: uncultured methanogenic archaeon
Lineage: Archaea; Methanobacteriati; Methanobacteriota
Description: bacterial SSU rRNA
Rfam family: Archaeal small subunit ribosomal RNA
Source: RNAcentral